Molecule: ribosomal RNA, 505 nt
Filed under: Pediococcus pentosaceus
Lineage: Bacteria; Bacillati; Bacillota; Bacilli; Lactobacillales; Lactobacillaceae
Description: bacterial SSU rRNA
Rfam family: Bacterial small subunit ribosomal RNA
Source: RNAcentral
CUGGCUCAGGAUGAACGCUGGCGGCGUGCCUAAUACAUGCAAGUCGAACGAACUUCCGUUAAUUGAUUAUGACGUACUUGUACUGAUUGAGAUUUUAACACGAAGUGAGUGGCGAACGGGUGAGUAACACGUGGGUAACCUGCCCAGAAGUAGGGGAUAACACCUGGAAACAGAUGCUAAUACCGUAUAACAGAGAAAACCGCAUGGUUUUCUUUUAAAAGAUGGCUCUGCUAUCACUUCUGGAUGGACCCGCGGCGUAUUAGCUAGUUGGUGAGGUAAAGGCUCACCAAGGCAGUGAUACGUAGCCGACCUGAGAGGGUAAUCGGCCACAUUGGGACUGAGACACGGCCCAGACUCCUACGGGAGGCAGCAGUAGGGAAUCUUCCACAAUGGACGCAAGUCUGAUGGAGCAACGCCGCGUGAGUGAAGAAGGGUUUCGGCUCGUAAAGCUCUGUUGUUAAAGAAGAACGUGGGUAAGAGUAACUGUUUACCCAGUGACGGUAUA